RNAcentral lists this non-coding RNA (29 nucleotides) under Homo sapiens (human). Lineage: Eukaryota; Metazoa; Chordata; Mammalia; Primates; Hominidae. The record is from RNAcentral.
UAGCAAGGGUGUUUACUCAGGAUUUGGGU